GGAGCGGUAGUUCAGUUGGUUAGAAUACCGGCCUGUCACGCCGGGGGUCGCGGGUUCGAGCCCCGUCCGCUCCGCAA
This 77-nucleotide transfer RNA is filed under the name Hydrocarboniphaga effusa AP103. Its description in RNAcentral is "tRNA-Asp". It matches the Rfam family "tRNA". From Rfam's summary of the family: Transfer RNA (tRNA) molecules are approximately 80 nucleotides in length. Their secondary structure includes four short double-helical elements and three loops (D, anti-codon, and T loops). Lineage: Bacteria; Pseudomonadati; Pseudomonadota; Gammaproteobacteria; Nevskiales; Nevskiaceae. The record is from RNAcentral.